This is a non-coding RNA of Pelobates cultripes (western spadefoot toad), 447 nucleotides long. The record is from the annotation of a GenBank genome assembly. NCBI's taxonomy places the organism in Eukaryota, Metazoa, Chordata, Amphibia, Anura, Pelobatidae.
CUCAUCUUCUAAAAAUCUUUCCAAAGUAGUAAAACAUUAGUUAAGUGUAUGCUGUAUUUUAACAUUAACAUACACAGUAAGUAGUACAUGACAGAACUUGCACAAGUAUAAGGCAGUGGGAGACUGUGACAGUCCCUGCUACAAUGUCUCUUCAAGCAGUGACAGAUAAGGUGUGGCAGGCUUCCAUUAAGUAAUGAAAGGUUUGCGGAUAACACAAUCUGCCAUCUAAUAUGCCCUUUCGCCAAUAUAUUUUUAUCCACAUUUAUUUGGAAUAUGAACAAAUAAAAACCACCCAACAGACACAUCAUUCCAGUAAUACAUUUUAUUUUGAAUUAAAGUCCUUGGUCAGGGAUAGGCAACCUUCGGCACUCCGGAUGUUGUGGACUACAUCCCCCAUAAUGCUCUUACACCCAUAAUGCUGGCAAAGCAUCAUGGGAGGUGUAGUCC